This 156-nucleotide ribosomal RNA is filed under the name uncultured bacterium. RNAcentral describes it as "partial 16S ribosomal RNA". It matches the Rfam family "Bacterial small subunit ribosomal RNA", at positions 588 to 744 of the family's 1533-position model. The record is from RNAcentral.
UUAGAGGNGAAUCCCAGGGCUCAACCCUGGAACUGCCUUUAAAACUGUUAGUCUUGAGAUCGAGAGAGGUGAGUGGAAUUCCAAGUGUAGAGGUGAAAUUCGUAGAUAUUUGGAGGAACACCAGUGGCGAAGGCGGCUCACUGGCUCGAUACUGAC